RNAcentral lists this ribosomal RNA (504 nucleotides) under Escherichia coli. RNAcentral's name for it is "bacterial SSU rRNA". It matches the Rfam family "Bacterial small subunit ribosomal RNA", at positions 1029 to 1533 of the family's 1533-position model. The record is from RNAcentral. Lineage: Bacteria; Pseudomonadati; Pseudomonadota; Gammaproteobacteria; Enterobacterales; Enterobacteriaceae.
GUGAGACAGGUGCUGCAUGGCUGUCGUCAGCUCGUGUUGUGAAAUGUUGGGUUAAGUCCCGCAACGAGCGCAACCCUUAUCCUUUGUUGCCAGCGGUCCGGCCGGGAACUCAAAGGAGACUGCCAGUGAUAAACUGGAGGAAGGUGGGGAUGACGUCAAGUCAUCAUGGCCCUUACGACCAGGGCUACACACGUGCUACAAUGGCGCAUACAAAGAGAAGCGAACUCGCGAGAGCAAGCGGACCUCAUAAAGUGCGUCGUAGUCCGGAUUGGAGUCUGCAACUCGACUCCAUGAAGUCGGAAUCGCUAGUAAUCGUGGAUCAGAAUGCCACGGUGAAUACGUUCCCGGGCCUUGUACACACCGCCCGUCACACCAUGGGAGUGGGUUGCAAAAGAAGUAGGUAGCUUAACCUUCGGGAGGGCGCUUACCACUUUGUGAUUCAUGACUGGGGUGAAGUCGUAACAAGGUAACCGUAGGGGAACCUGCGGUUGGAUCACCUCCUUA